This 1040-nucleotide ribosomal RNA is filed under the name uncultured Bacteroidota bacterium. Its description in RNAcentral is "bacterial SSU rRNA". It matches the Rfam family "Bacterial small subunit ribosomal RNA", at positions 47 to 1089 of the family's 1533-position model. Lineage: Bacteria; Pseudomonadati; Bacteroidota. The record is from RNAcentral.
CUUAACACAUGCAAGUCGAGGGGCAGCACGGGUAGCAAUACUUGGUGGCGACCGGCGCAAGGGUGCGUAACGCGUGAGCAACAUGCCCGUAUCAGGGGGAUAAUCCAGGGAAACUUGGUCUAAUACCCCAUAGUAAUUUCGUAAGGCAUCUUAUGGGAUUUAAAGCUUUGGUGGAUACGGAUUGGCUCGCGUGACAUUAGCUGGAUGGUAAGGUAACGGCUUACCAUGGCUAUGAUGUCUAGGGGUUCUGAGAGGAAGGUCCCCCACACUGGAACUGAGACACGGUCCAGACUCCUACGGGAGGCAGCAGUGAGGAAUAUUGGACAAUGGAUGGAAAUCUGAUCCAGCCAUGCCGCGUGAAGGAAAAAUGUCCUAUGGAUUGUAAACUUCUUUUGUAUGGGAGCAAUAAGGUCUUCGUGAAGACUGAUGAGAGUACCAUACGAAUAAGCAUCGGCUAACUCCGUGCCAGCAGCCGCGGUAAUACGGAGGAUGCGAGCGUUAUCCGGAUUUAUUGGGUUUAAAGGGUGCGUAGGCUGUUAUAUAAGUCAGUGGUGAAAUAUUCGGGCUCAACCGGGAUACUGCCAUUGAUACUGUAUAGCUGGAAUAUGGUUGCUGUGGGUGGAAUGUGUGGUGUAGCGGUGAAAUGCAUAGAUAUCACACAGAAUAUCGAUUGCGAAGGCAACUCACAAAGCCAUUAUUGACGCUGAUGCACGAAAGUGUGGGGAUCAAACAGGAUUAGAUACCCUGGUAGUCCACACUGUAAACGAUGAUAACUAGCUGUCGGCGAUAGAUAGUCGGUGGCUAAGCGAAAGCGAUAAGUUAUCCACCUGGGGAGUACGACCGCAAGGUUGAAACUCAAAGGAAUUGACGGGGGCCCGCACAAGCGGAGGAACAUGUGGUUUAAUUCGAUGAUACGCGAGGAACCUUACCCGGGCUCGAACGGUGCAGAUAUGGGUAGAGAUAUCAUAGCUAGCAUAGUCUGUAUCGAGUGCUGCAUGCUGUCGUCAGCUCGUGCGUGAGGUGUCGGCUAGUGCAUACCG